Molecule: transfer RNA, 71 nt
Filed under: Colletotrichum orbiculare MAFF 240422
Lineage: Eukaryota; Fungi; Ascomycota; Sordariomycetes; Glomerellales; Glomerellaceae
Rfam family: tRNA
About the family: Transfer RNA (tRNA) molecules are approximately 80 nucleotides in length. Their secondary structure includes four short double-helical elements and three loops (D, anti-codon, and T loops).
Source: Rfam by way of RNAcentral
AUCUUUAUAGCUUAAUAGUAGAGUAUAAUACUGUUAAUAUUAUAAUAGAGGUUUGAUUUUUUUUAAGGGCU